UUUCGGAAGAGGAUGAGGUACGAAGCCCUGGAAAACCACUGUCACGUGAAGUAGGUGAGGUGUUAAGUCAGAAGACAGAUUGAAAUGUGAAAAAGGGUUGGGUAUAAGGGAUUGUUACAUGAACAUAGGCCUAACUGUGACUGUUUAAAGGUGUUUGAGGCAUAUCAACUUAUUUAGUUCAUAUGCAAGUCUGCUUUUAGGAACUCUUUAGUAAUGUCAGACAUAUUAUGCCUGAAAAUAUGAAUACUAUUUAAUUACGCACUCUGCGGGUCAAAAUUAGUAAAAUGGCAUCAUAGCUAUUUUUGUAACAGUAAACUAUCUCUUUAUGUGAAGGCAACCAUGAGUGUUUUGUGAUAAAUAUCGAAAGAGGUUUAUGUUCCCUUAUUUAUUAUAAAUACUGGGAACAUGCUUCUAAUAUACCAAAACAUGAGACAGAAGGUAGUACAUUAUGAGCUAGAGCCAGGCUCUUUAUGUACUAGAACUGUCUGUCUCUAUCAUAUAUAUGACAUUUAAAUUGCAAAAGGCAUUUAACUAAACAGAAACUGUUAAAAGAGAAUACUGCGCAAAGGUGGUUGGCAUUUGGAGCUGUGGCUUAGUUGGGUAAAGCAGUGCCUACUGUAGUUUAGUUUUUCAUAACUUCCAUACCCAUCUAGGGAGUCACUUUAAAAAUAAACAUGAGAUAAAAUUAUUUAGAUCUACAUAUAGUCCACCUAAAGAAUCUUGAAUUAGAAUUAUAUUGAUACUUAUGAUUAAAAUGUUGUUUAAGUUAAUUCACUUAAGGGAAUUUUACAUUUUAAGCCGAAGUAGCGUACUGGAAGCAUAGCUGACUUGGGGUAUCUUUCCAAUUAGAAAAUUUUUUACCUUAAAUUUGAAAUUCACUUAGAAUUCUUACUUUAGUGAAUAAACACAUUAUGAAUUGAUUCAUUAAAAGUUUGCAUUGCAGCACUAAGACAGCUUCUAAUGUUUGUCUACCAAACAACCACUAGAGGGCUUCCUGAAAUGAAACGCACCUUUAGUCCGGUAUCUGACGCUGGACGUCCUAAUGCUCUGUGUGAGGACGCCCAGCGUCAGAUUUUUCCCCACAGGAAAGCAUUGAUUUAGCGCUUUCCUAUGGGGAGGUCUAAUGCGUGCAUUGCAUUUGCCACGCAUGCACAUUAACACGGAGGGGGGCGCAAGGACGGGGAAAACAGGGUUAGCUAUAGUGAGAGGAAUACAGCUUUGUAUUCCUGGCACUAUAUUGUCCCUUUAAGCAACACAUGAAGCUCUGUGGCUAAGUUGGUCCUGUCUAGUAACCAGAUCUAGUAAGAGAUCCUGAGUUCAAAUCUUUGCAGUGUCUAUGUUUUGAAAAUAUAAAACUUAGCAAUACUACGAUACAUUUCAUACAUACAAAGAGCAAGCCUUGUUUACUAAUUUUUCAUUCCAAUGCAAAAUUAGCCUCUUACUUUGCAAAAUUCCAGCCCCAAAAAGAUUUUUAAUACACCUCCUUUAUUUAACAUUCACUAUACCUUUAUCCUAUUAAUGUCACAAUUUACCCUGCCUGUGCUACACCCCAUGCACACAUUCACUGAAUAUUCCUAAAAUAUCCACAUAAAUUCCAACCCUCCACAUCCUGUUAACCGAUAACACCUCCCACCAAAGUCAGUUACCCAUUUUUAUGUCUUUAAAUAUCCUUCUUGUAUACAUUAUUAGGACAGCAUGGCCAGUUAUGAUCAGAUUGCAUACCUGCAUGUACAGCAUGGUCUUCUUAUCUUGCAAUCUGCAGUCCUGCAUGAGACAUAUCCCCUCCUCUUUGUAUGAUGUCCUCUACUUUACAACAAGCCAAUAACAAACAUCUGAAAAUAUCGCUGCACAAGAAGUAUUAUCUGAUCCUACCGUGCUAUGCUAUCCAAGUAAUGAGAAGUUACAGCACAGUCCUGCAGAAAAAGCAUCUCAUGUCUGACUGUCUUCUGAGGUGAACAUCCCUUUCCCCUUAGCAGGCCAGCAAACUUUACCAGUGAUAAUAUUUUUUCAUUGGGUGGCUGCCUUACAUACAGUGUCUUCCAACAUUUGGAUGUAUGCAAGAAGUGGCACAGGGAUGGUACAGACUAGUAGGAGCAUGCCCAUGAGGUAAUGUGAGUCAAUGGUGGAGAGUAAGAAGGCAUGCUCUACUGAAAAGGGGUUAUAUCACCCUGGCAGUCUGCAACCACAGUUUUAACUUUUCAGUGAUUAUUAUGGACCGAUCUAUGUUGCCUCCAAGUAACAACUCCAGAGAACAAACUUGGGACAAUGAGGCAAAGCCCAUGAUGUAUUUAAAUGACCGAAUAAUAGGAAACAAGGUCAAUCUCAAUGUAUAAUUCUGUGUAAGACAUUUAUAAAUAAACGUGUAUGAUAUACUAUAAGUUGCUAUUUGCCGUUUACGUCUGCCCAUCUAGUAACAACAACAACAGCCUAGUAGAUAAUUUAAAAAAAGAAUCACAAGCACUGUAGAGCUGUGGAAAAAGUUGGCUCUAUACAAAUACUAGUAAUAAUAACAGACUUUUCAAUAGACUGUCCUUGUUCUCUGUAAGUCUCUGCUAAAGUGUACAAUUUUUUUAUUUUUGUCCUAUUCCUCUCCCAUAGACUGUCAGACAUCCCCUGGAAGCAGCAUCCACAGUCCCAAUGAUGAAUCAGACAACGAAGCCAUUAACCCAUCAAGGUUGUUUAUACAAAUGAUAUGUACAAGCCUCUGCCUUGUCAUGCCCUCAUCCUGCUGGUGGGCAGAGUAGGACAGAGGGGCUGCUUGUAUUGUGUUUAUAUCUAUGGUGUACGAGUGCAGUACGUUUAGUCUAUGUAGUCCAUUUAGUAAUGUUCAUGUCAUAUUCAAAUGCUUUUGUUUUUACACGGAUCAGAGAGAGUACCACACUGAUUUUACAUUAAGUGUAUAAAGGAUAUAUCAUUACAUGUCAUGUAAUGCAGCUUGCAAAGUUUGUAAAAUUAUACAUUCUAAGUUCUACAUUAUUUCAGAAAGUUAUUUUGUAGUCUGUAGGUACACAGGAAGAAAAAGGUAGGCACUCAUAUUUGUCAGAAUGCCCAUGGUGAUUUGUCCAUGAUAGAUAUAUCUAGAUUGGAAACCGCAUACCUAAGAAAUGACCCUCAUAUUGGUAUUGUAUAAGAGUUGUAUAAAAGCGCACCAUGGAGACUAAUUAAUUAAUAGACCCAAAGAAAUUUUUCUUAAAAAAAAGAAAGGAUGGACAAUCCACUGGGUAGCCAGGACUUGGUCAAGCUCCUCACUAACCUAUAAUUACACGUUUCAGAGGACAUGAUAUUUCUUAAAUUUAAAUUCUAUUUAAAUGCAUAAUGCAAGGCAGCGAUCUAUGGCCAUAUGGUGCAAAUCAGUUUUAGUUUAUAAUUAUUUUUUUUCUAGACAAAUUCUGGAUUAAAUAUGGAUGGACAACAACUAAAUGCUUUUUCUGAACCUAUCAGUAAGCAGUGGGUCUACAGGUUUGACAUGCUGACAUUUAAAAAUUGCUUUACGAUGAACUUUCAUUUGUUUCUUUUACUUUCAGGGAUUUGAGCUUAGACACAAUGAGGCAAAAAAUCCACGAUCUGACAGAAAAGUUACGGAACGCUCACACCUGUCACAUCUGUCUUGUGAGUACUCACACCUACUACAUCUGAUGAGAACUGUUCCCUCUAACCACUUCUAUGACCAUGAUCCAGCUCUGGAAUAGUCAAAGGUCCACUUUACAUUUUUAAAGCAUUAAAGUUAGGGCAGGAGGAGAAGGUAGGGGGUCGGAGAGGACCAGUGCCAUUGAGAGCACAGAAAUGGUUUUACUCCUUUUGGUUAAAUGGCACCCAAGACCUCAAGGUACCCAAAGAACUUAAUUAUGAUGAUCAGAGAAUAUUUUAAACAAAGCUUUGAUGCACCUUGAGAUUUUCAAGAUAACAUUUUUAUCUGUUUUCAAGACUGGGAUAUUUAGUGUUAAUAGGGAUUAUAAGGAACUUAAUGCAAACUAAGGUUAAUAAAAAGGAAAUCUUUUAUUACAAAUAUAGUAAUAAAAACUAGCAAUAAUGAAUAAACUAACUAGCACUGAUUCCACAAAUAUACAGCAGAGUACACAAAGAAUGAAAAUUGAAGAAAUUAGUCUUGAAAUAGUAAAUAUACACCAAGGUAUGCAGGAAAACAAAUAAAAAUGAAAUACAAGUAACUAUCGUGUGAUAACCCACUGGAGAUUUUUGCUAUAAAUACUUCCAGUUGGUUGGUUGAUCCGGCGUCCCGUGACAAGCGUUGGAAAACAUGUGCAUGUAAUAAGAGGGAGGAAAAUUAAUACAUGGAAAACCAGUAUAAAACCAUCUCACUGAAAUAUGCUACAAAGAAAUGUCAGAGCAUACGUUACCAGACAAAGAAGAAACAGUCGCUUGUAGUGUUUUUCGCGCACAUCACUAACUAUUGAUAAUGUGUUUUUUCUUAUUCUCCUUGUAGGACUCAUACAGUGUCCCUGUAACCUCCAU
RNAcentral lists this long non-coding RNA (4470 nucleotides) under Pelobates cultripes (western spadefoot toad). The record is from RNAcentral. Lineage: Eukaryota; Metazoa; Chordata; Amphibia; Anura; Pelobatidae.